Molecule: ribosomal RNA, 492 nt
Filed under: uncultured bacterium
Lineage: Bacteria
Description: partial 16S ribosomal RNA
Rfam family: Bacterial small subunit ribosomal RNA
Source: RNAcentral
AGUGAACGCUGGCGGUAGGCCUAACACAUGCAAGUCGAACGGCAGCACAGUGAGAGCUUGCUCUUACGGGUGGCGAGUGGCGGACGGGUGAGGAAUACAUCGGAAUCUACUUUUUCAUGGGGGAUAACGUAGGGAAACUUACGCUAAUACCGCAUACGACCUACGGGUGAAAGCAGGGGAUCUUCGGACCUUGCGCGAUUGAAUGAGCCGAUGUCGGAUUAGCUAGUUGGCGGGGUAAAGGCCCACCAAGGCGACGAUCCGUAGCUGGUCUGAGAGGAUGAUCAGCCACACUGGAACUGAGACACGGUCCAGACUCCUACGGGAGGCAGCAGUGGGGAAUAUUGGACAAUGGGCGCAAGCCUGAUCCAGCCAUACCGCGUGGGUGAAGAAGGCCUUCGGGUUGUAAAGCCCUUUUGUUGGGAAAGAAAAGCAGCAGGUUAAUACCCCGCUGUUCUGACGGUACCCAAAGAAUAAGCACCGGCUAACUUCGUG